UUUCCCUGUUGCCCUGUGCCAGCACUGGGGUAGUGCCCCUGGGCUCUACCCCCAAAACCUUCCCAGGGCUCUGUCCCGGCAGUUCAGAGGGGCCAGGAUGGUGGACAUAAUCGCCAAAGUGACCAGGAGGCAGAGUCGAGCCUUGCCGGCACAGGUAGGGGAUGCUGGGGUCAAGGGGUGCCCGGUGGGCCUCUACCACAAGCCCUGUUAGGAGCUGGGUGAGCUGGGGCUUAGAGCAGGGAGCCUCUUGGAAGUUGGGGCUCAUACUUCCUUUUCUCUUUCCUUCUCGGAGGCCCUGCCCAUCCAAGAGGUGGUCAGCUUGGGGCAAGAGUGGCAGGGCUGCCACCUGCUUGUGGACAGGGGAGGGAACUGGAGAUAAGGGGUGAACCACUGUAAGGCAGUACCAGGGGGCUGGGCAGCCUGGAGCCUGAGAGCCAGGUCCCUCUUGGCUCCUCCUCUGGCCUGAGGUCGGAAGGCCACUUCUUGUCUCUAGGAUGCGACCCAAGAGCCAUUGAUCCCGUAGUCAGGCCCCUGCUUAUGAGCUGCAUCUGGGUCUUGUCUGGGCCUCCAUGAACAGGAGCAAGGAGGAGGGUAGGGGUGGCAGGCGCCUGUAACUCCUUGAAGGCCAGAGGAUGUGGAGGGCGUGACUGCACCUGGCCCCAGGAGCUGGUUAGAACCCAGCUGAGGCUCUGCCAGGAGAGGAGAGCAUCUCUAUCUCAGCACUGUGCAGGGUCUGCCGAGAGUUCCAGAGUUUGAAGGGGCCUGAAGGACACUGCAGUUCAACACCCACCACAGGGCUAUGGCUUCCCUAACAGGGAGUAGACUCUGCUCAGUCACCUCCAGUGAGGGCCCCUCACUACCUCCAGAAGCAGCCUGUGUCUCUGGCAGCCCUAGUCCUCAGAAUGCUUCCUUCAGAGGAAUGCUGCUGUGCCCCUGCAGCAUGAUACCCCAUCUUCUCUUCCUUGUGACAGCCCUGUCAUGCUGGGGACCUAAACUUCUACCUCCGAAAUCUCCUCUGUACCUGCUGGGGACAUUCCUUCGUGUGAGGACCCCAUCAGCCUCACUGGCCUGGGACUCCUCGUGGACCCAGAGCCAUGGCCCACAGCCUGCCAAGUAGAAAUUCCUGCUCCAAAGAGCCUGUUCCUUAUCAGCUCAUCCACCCCUGGUGGAGCCUUUCAACUCCUGCCCCAGUGCGUUCAGCUGGGAGGAUGGGAGGUGUGUCUGGUUCCUCUGCCUUCCUCUCCCCGCUGCUUCCAUCCUGCCCUCCCCAGGAAUCUCCUGGUUUCUGUGGCUCCGACCCUCCUCCUCAGAAAGCUCAAGCUCAUUCCAGGCUCUUCUGUCAUGUCAGGCAUGUUUGUUGCUGAAACUGGGCAUGGGUUAGACUUGUGUACACAAGCAGUUUGUGGCAGACCUGCUAUGUGCUUCAGGGCAUUGGCCCAGCUGCUGGGGGGCAAAUGGAAUCAGCUACAUUAUCCUUAGUCUUGCUCUCAAGAAAAUCCUGCCUUUUGGGGCAGAGGAGGUGGGCAGAUGGUUGGACAACUGGCUGCCCACCAAGGCAGAACGCCAUUGGGCCUCAACAGAGCAGUGAGCAGAGUGCCAGCAGGUUUGACCUCUCCCUGGAGAGGCUUGUCAGCUGAGCACCGUGAGAGAGCAGGAUUUGGGUAGGCAGAGAACCAGAGAAGGGAAUUCCAGGCUGAGGGAAUGGCUGGAGCAAACGCUUCGAGGUGGGAGGAUGCCUUUUCUGUUGGGGGCCGGUGAGAGGCCUGUUGUGGUUGGACUACAGGAUGCCACAUCAGAGCUAUGGUGGGGGUAGAGAAAGGACAAGUGGGGUGGAGGGUCCCCUCUCAGCCACACAGCAGCCUGGAGGAAGGGGAGAGGAGAGAAGAACUGAUGGGCUGGGAUCCCCAGCUCUCCCUGUCCCCCAGGCGCCUGGGGACUGGCACCCUGUCUAAAACUGUAACAUCCUCUUCAUUGACAGUGUUUUCAUUUCUUGCUUAGCAGUGAUCAGCACUGACAUGCUGUCCAUUUACUCAUCACCCCCACCAUUUACACACAGGUGCACUUGAGUGCCAGCUCUGCCAGGGAAGGAUUUGUGUCCCUUUCUUCCCUGCUGUAUUCCCCGUGCCUCAAACAGUGCCUGGCACAGAGCAGGUGAAUCUUUGUUGGGUAAACAAAUGUUCUUCUUUUCCUUCUUCUUUUCAUUGUUUUGGUUUGGUUUGCUUUUUUGGCAUCAGUUUGGUGAAAAAUGAAUUUUUUUUUUUUUUUGGCAUCUGCCUAAGGCUCAGGGAGAGACCACCCUGAACAGGUGCUUCCUCUUUCGAGGAGUUUACAGCUUAGUGAUGGUGUCACAGUCAGCAGAGGAACUUCUGUGAAUUUUUAAAAGUUUUGUAGUACAAAAUUUUGAGGCUGCAGGAAAGUUCAAAGAAAACAAAACAAAAACAAACCCCUAUAAUCACAGUGCUCAGAAGGGACCUCUGUUAGCAUUUUGGAAAGUUUCCGAAAACACAAAAUUGAAAUGUGGAAAUCUGCUUUCCCCUGAAGUAUUGUGUAUGCUUAGAAAAUAGUAGUAAUUGGCCAGGUGCGGUGGCUCACACCUGUAAUCCCAGCACUUUGGGAGGCCCUGGUGGGCGGAUCACCUGAGGUCAGGAGUUCAAGACCAGCCUGGCCAACAGGGCAAAACCCCAUCUCUACUAAAAUACAAAAAUUAGCCAGGCGUGGUGGUGCGUGCCUGCAAUGCCAGCUACUUGGGAGGCUGAGGCAUGAGAAUCGCUUGAACCCAGGAGGCGGAGGUUGCAGUGAGCCGAGAUCACACCAUUCCACUCCAGUCUGGACGACAGAGCGAGACUCCAUCUC
This 2853-nucleotide long non-coding RNA is filed under the name Homo sapiens (human). RNAcentral's name for it is "non-protein coding lnc-PLEKHM1-2:1". The record is from RNAcentral. Lineage: Eukaryota; Metazoa; Chordata; Mammalia; Primates; Hominidae.